UCCAGACUCCUACGGGAGGCAGCAGUGAGGAAUAUUGGUCAAUGGUCGGGAGACUGAACCAGCCAAGUCGCGUGAGGGAUGACGGCCCUACGGGUUGUAAACCUCUUUUGUCGGGGAGCAAAUUCCGCCACGUGUGGCGGAGUCGAGAGUACCCGAAGAAAAAGCAUCGGCUAACUCCGUGCCAGCAGCCGCGGUAAUACGGAGGAUGCGAGCGUUAUCCGGAUUUAUUGGGUUUAAAGGGUGCGCAGGCGGAGGUGCAAGUCAGCGGUCAAAUUGCGGGGCUCAACCCCGUACUGCCGUUGAAACUGCAUCCCUUGAGUGCGCGAGAAGUAUGCGGAAUGCGUGGUGUAGCGGUGAAAUGCAUAGAUAUCACGCAGAACUCCGAUUGCGAAGGCAGCAUACCGGCGCGCAACUGACGCUCAUGCACGAAAGCGUGGGUAUCGAACAGGAUUAGAUACCCUGGUA
Molecule: ribosomal RNA, 465 nt
Filed under: uncultured bacterium
Lineage: Bacteria
Description: bacterial SSU rRNA
Rfam family: Bacterial small subunit ribosomal RNA
Source: RNAcentral